UAUAAAGACAAUAUCUUCACCCACACAAGAACAAGUUAUAAACCUAAGCCGGUACAGUAUUCCAUUUCUUCUCACAGUAUUUCUAUCAUCUGAAAUACCAUUUAACCCUGGAAUACAACUAAGGUCAGGAGUGCGGGCAAACUGAUUUGUCUGGGUCUUUGAGUUUUCCACUUACUGGGGCUAAAAGGUUACUGCUAGAGAGCCUACUUGGAAUAAAGAAAAGCUUCAAAUCCAUCGACUCCGUCACUGUCCCUUCUUCGUUUUCUGUUGUUGUGGAUAUUGAAGCGCUGGUUCAUUUGAGGC
This is a long non-coding RNA of Trichosurus vulpecula (common brushtail), 303 nucleotides long. RefSeq lists it as uncharacterized. The record is from RefSeq and is a predicted model, not a curated record. Lineage: Eukaryota; Metazoa; Chordata; Mammalia; Diprotodontia; Phalangeridae. The transcript has 3 exons.